UCCCUCACCUCAGUACUACUACCUCACCAGUCACCAGUCACCACACAACCGGAGCAAAUAGCUCCGUCAACUGUCAUACACGCCAACACACUCCACCUGCCGCCUGUAGAUCCGAUCGAGAGAAGCCAUGCAGGGUGCAACUGGAGCGCUGAUCACCCUCCUCCGCAAGCUCGGCGAGCUGGCCGUGGCUGAGUUCACCCUGGACAAGCGGGUGAAGAAGCGCGUCGAGUCCCUCCGCGAGGAGCUGGACAUGAUGCACGCGGUCCUCCAUGAACUUGGCGACGUGCCGGCGGAGCAGCUCAAACCGCCGGUCCAGAUCUGGGCGGCCAAAGUCCGGGAGCUCUCGUACAACAUGGAGGAUGCGGUGGACACCUACAUGGUCCGCCUGCACCACGACAGCCAUGGCGACGUCGGCCCCAACAAUAUGAAGAACAGAGUCAAAAAGUUCAUCAAGCGAACCAAAAAGCUGUUUAGCAACGGCAAGGCUCUCCAUCAGAUCUCCGGCGCCGUCCGAGAUGCGCAGAGGCACGCCCAAGAGCUGGGUGAUCUCCGCAAAAGGUACAUGCUGGAGGUGCACACCAAGGGUGAGGGGAAUACCAUUGACCCUCGCCUGCAGGCUGUGUACAAAGAUGUCAUGGAGCUUGUUGGCAUCGAGGGCAUACGGGACGAGCUGAUCCAGAAGCUCCUCGGCGAAGAUGAGAUGUCCAGCAAACAACUCAAGACACUGUCUAUUGUUGGAUUUGGUGGAUUGGGCAAGACAACACUUACCAAAGCUGUGUAUGACAAGAUCAUAGUGCAGUUUGACUGUGGAGUGUUUGUUCCAGUGUCUCGGAAUCCCAAUAUAACAAGGAUUUUCAAGAAGAUGUUGUACGGACUUGAUAGGAUUAAGUUUGCAGACAUCAAUGAAUCUGUUAGAGACAAUCAACAACUCAUCGAUGAGUUGAGAGCGUUUCUUCAGGAUAAGAGGUACUUAAUCGUGAUUGAUGACAUAUGGGAUGAAGAAGCAUGGGAAAUUAUCAAGUGUGCUUUCUCUAAGAGUGAUCUUCGCAGCCGAGUAAUAACAACAACCCGCAUAAACAGUGUCUCUGAAGCUUGUUGCCCAUUUAGUGGUGAUAUUAUUCAUGAGAUGAAGUCUCUUGAUAAUGAUGACUCCAAAAGGCUUUUCCAUAAAAGAAUAUUCCCUCAAGGAUGUCAAUGUCCCGUUGAAUUAGAGCAAGUGUCUAGAGAAAUUUUGAAGAAAUGUGGUGGAGUCCCACUAGCCAUUAUUACUAUAGCAAGUCUUUUGGCCAGCAAUGAUAAACACAUAAAGCUAAAGUAUGAAUGGGACAAGGUACUUAGUUCUAUUGGCCGUGGACUUGCGGAAGGGCGCACCACGAAGGAUAUGCAAAUAAUACUAUCAUUUAGUUAUUAUGACCUACCAUCUCAUCUCAAGCCUUGUUUCUUAUAUCUCAGUAUAUUCCCAGAAGAUUAUGAGAUAGAUAGAGACUUGUUGAUAUGGAGGUGGAUAGCUGAAGGCUUUAUCCUGGGUGGACAACAAGAAAUUAGCCUAUUUGAGGUGGGAGAGACAUAUUACAAUGAGCUGAUAAACAGAAACUUGAUUCAGCCAAUAUAUGCUGAUGUUGAAUUUAGGGCGGAAGGUUGUCGAGUACAUGAUAUGGUACUUGAUCUCAUAUGUUCUCUAUCGAGUGAAGAAAACUUCGUUACUAUAUGGGAUGGCUCUAAGCAAAACAAGAACAAUUCAGAUAGCAUGGUUCGUAGGUUAUCUUUUCAAAAUAGCAUGUCAGAGCUGACCACUCAUCAGGUUGAUGCCACAAGUAUGUCAAAAUUGAGGUCUGUUACUCUGUUUAGAACUGAUGAUAAUCUGAUCCGGUCUCUUUCAAGCCUCCAAUUGUUGCGUGUGCUGGACUUAUCAGGUUGUGAUCUUCGGAAAAGUAGCUGCCAAAUUGAUCUUAGGUGUGUUGAGAAAUUAUUACACCUGAGGUACCUAGGGCUGCGAAAUACACUUGUUGACCCUCUCCACAUUGAAAUAGGAAAACUUCAAUUUUUGCAAAUAUUGGACUUCACGCCAGGUAAAUCUUUGGAGGUGCCAUCAAGUGUUGUUCGGCUAGGAAAUUUGAUGUGCCUAUAUGUUUAUGAGAACACGAUAUUACCGGUUGGGAUAGACAACUUGGUGUCCUUAGAAGAGCUGAGUGUUGUGACGGUGGAUGGUACUAAUGCGACUGAGAAAGAGCUAGGGAAGCUGGUGCAGCUGAGGGUGCUUCGCCUUUGGUGGAAGGGAGACGAUGAAAGUGUGUGUAAUUCUUUGUUGAUGUCCUUGGCCAAUUUGCAGAAAUUGCGUACCCUAGAGAUUUCUCAAUAUGGGGAUGCAAGGUUCGAUGCCAGCUGGAACGGCUGGGUGCCCCCUCCACACCUCCACGCUCUUUGGUUCAGGAGUUGUACCUCGGCAUUGCGUAGAUGGAUUAAUUCAUCAUUGCUUCCCGUCCUCUCCUACUUGUUUAUACAAGUGGACAGGGUGAGGCCGGAGGUCGACAUGCAGAUCAUUGGGAAAUUGCCCGCUCUUUGUUUUCUCAAUCUGAACACCACCAGAGCCCAAUACACUCCUGUCGAAGGAUUCAUCAUUGGCCAUGAUGCAUUCCCUUGCCUGAGAGAGUGUAUGCUCACUAAUUUCCAGAUAGGGCCAUCUAUGUUUCCACGAGGAUCUAUGCCCAGGCUUGAAACACUUUACUUCUGUGCCCGAGCAUCGCACAUCACUGGUGGUGACUUGGAUGUUGACAUGCGGCACCUCCCUUCUCUACAGAAAGUCACGGUUCGUCUUUGGUCUGAGGAAGACUGCUUGCCAGCAGUGCAGAAAGCGGCUGAUAUGCUGAACAAAGCAUUGGACGUCCAUCCCAACCACCCCGCCCUUCAUCAUUGGUUUGAGGAACCUUUACCCGAAGAACGAGUACAAGCAAAGGAGCCUGCAGCAGCCAUCACUGUGAGCGACCGAGGAAGCGAGGCAGUUGUGAUGUAGAGCUAAUUCCAUCCAUUCAAAUUAAUCCGCAGGAGUGCUACAUUUUGUUCAUCAUGGCUCAGGUGGCAGCUGAGUGGUUUUUGGAGGAAGGCAUGGCAUGGCCCCUGGGAAAGUGCUGCUAGUGCUUGCCACUGGACGAUGCUUUGUUCCUCCUCCUGAAGUGCGAAAAUCCCAAAGCUUCAGACGCCUAUGUUUGGUUCUGUGAUCUAUCUAUGGAACUGUGCGGGAGCUUAUCUCAUACGAUCCCCCUGAAGUUUGUAAUUGGCUGGGAUCAGCAUGUGCGUGAUAUGCAAUGCUUUGGACUGCUUUGGAGGGCGUUGAUCACAUUUUAUUUCAGUGUAUGUGGCAGAAGCCGGCGGGGUGUGUCAAGUGCAGCAUGUAUCUCAAGUUUCCAUGGAGAAGAAAGAUUGACGCGAGGCUGAAAAAUGGUUAAUCCUGGAAAUGUGCUGAGAGUGGAGUUGACUGAAAAACUCAUUUCUUGCGUUCCUUUCCUAUUUAUUUUACUUUGCUGUUUUUUGCGAUCUACCUGCUGUUACAGAGGGCCGGAGUAUAUGCUCUUAUCGUACUACACACAAUCCAAGAAUAAAAGGACUAAUAAUUGAAGUGUGCAGCAAACUGUUAAUAGUAACUACAUAUCUGAAAAACUCCAGGUUCGUCAGAGUUAGCAAGCUAGGCAGAAUGGAACUGUCCAGUCCGAAGUAGCAGCAUUAUAAUGAUUGAGCUUUUUCCCUGGAACUGAACUGCAAUCACAGUAUGAAGAACAGAUUUACAGAUCAACGGUACAGAAACAGGCAUGACUUUCCAGAGCAGCCAUCAUCAUCAUACAGAAACAUGCUCCUAACAAUUUGUGUGGUGAACCUUUGAAGAAGAGAGAUCCUACAUGCAAGAGGACGCUAACUAGCUCUCAGAGAUGCUGGCCGAAGUUGAGCAGACAAGUGUGGAUGACAUGGCGUUUGAGUUAGCAAACUCCGCACACGGACUGAGGAGGGAGGAAAGAGUGGAUGGGAGCUGGCAGGCGCCCGCGGCAGCGAGCGCACGAAUUAUUAUACACAAGGCUGUAUAGCUUGCUGCAUGCGUAACGAAGAAGCACAUGACAGUGAAAAUCAUAAAGCAAGGAGCACAAAUACGUACUCCCUCAGUUCCUGAAUAUAAGUCAUUUUAGAGAUUGCACUACAAACUACAUACGGAUGUAUAUAAACUACUAUGGUUGUAUGAAUAUGCCCACCCCUGAUCCAGGA
This is an RNA transcript of Triticum dicoccoides, 4248 nucleotides long. It is a transcript of the gene named disease resistance protein RGA5-like, with no coding region annotated. The transcript has 6 exons. NCBI's taxonomy places the organism in Eukaryota, Viridiplantae, Streptophyta, Magnoliopsida, Poales, Poaceae. The record is from RefSeq and is a predicted model, not a curated record.